UGAGGUCUGAAGUGUUGGAAAGAGAAUAACAUCACUUCUGUAGGAGGCAGAACUUUCAUCAACCUCCAAAGUUUACAGAGGCUGAACCAGACUUCUCUCUGGGAGCUUCCUCACAGAGCUUGUCCUGGCUCAAAACUACUCCGCUGUCCUGGAAAGCAGAACUUUUGAGAACCUGGACCAUCUUGUGAAGCUGCCUACGUCAUACAGCAUGUCAAGUCCAGCAGCCCUCAGCAGCAUGUUUUGUGCCAGAGGAGUGUGGGGCUGGAGGCUUACUGUGAACAUUAGGAGCUAGUCAUUUUUAUGACAGGAUAAUGAAGGGGCUGAAGUUAAUCACCACUUCUUCUUUUCAAUGUCCAUGAUUGCUCUUUGAAUAUUCUUAGGCCUAUAAUUCAAAAGAACAGAUCCCUAUUUCUUUAUGUUGAAAACUAAUUUCUGGUGAGAUAAUAGAUAUAAUUUUCAAUUAACUGCAGGUGGCAGAGUUUUGUUUCAGACGGCAGUCAUUAUCGCAAUCAGCAUGGCCUUCUUGUCAGCGGGUCCUGUCCCUACAUCAUACAGGAAUUCAGAGGAAAAGGUGGCCAUGCUGGAGAACAUCAGGGCAAGACAAGAACAGCUUGGUUUGGUUCAUCCAUGUCUGGCCUGCUAGAGAUCUACGAAAAAACUCCUGAUGAUGGAGAGACGCGGCGCAGACCACUGUCUCUGGUCAGGAUUCGGCUCAUCAUACAACAGGGCUCCAGAGGGUGUCUUGGAGAGCUGGAGACAUAUUGUGGGGUCUUGGAUGUGCUGCAACCUGUUCACUAUCCACUGGUGAGCAAUCUAAUAUAGCUAGAUUAGUUUGUAUAGUCUGGGCGCUGUACCAGAUUGUUGUGGUGAAGAGGGAGCUGAGCCAGAGGAUGAAGGUAUAAUUGAGUGAUAUCUUUGCUAAGAACUGGCAGCAGGAAGCAAGUUAAUGGAGAUUUCCCCACAUCUCUCCUGUAUACUCUGAUAUUGAACGCAGUUUAUCCUUGUAUCUGUGCUGGUGAUCAAUUCUUGAUUAGAACAAGAGCCUCCGCCAGCAAAUAGGAACACAAACUAAUAAUCUCUCUCAAAGAGGGGAGCGCUGACCCAGUCCUUCAGAAUACAAGACCAAAUAAGUAGACUUAACAGAACACAGACGUUAAGCUUUGAAGGAGGCUGUGAUUGGCUAAGUGAUAAG
This is a long non-coding RNA of Siniperca chuatsi (mandarin fish), 1192 nucleotides long. RefSeq lists it as uncharacterized. NCBI's taxonomy places the organism in Eukaryota, Metazoa, Chordata, Actinopteri, Centrarchiformes, Sinipercidae. The record is from RefSeq and is a predicted model, not a curated record. The transcript has 3 exons.